Long non-coding RNA from Gasterosteus aculeatus aculeatus (three-spined stickleback), 1418 nucleotides. NCBI's taxonomy places the organism in Eukaryota, Metazoa, Chordata, Actinopteri, Perciformes, Gasterosteidae. The record is from Ensembl.
UAUACACACACACACACACAAAUAAUGUGUAUAUAUAAAACCACACAAAGUGGGUUUUGUUGUAUUUUCUAUUCCGUUGUCUUGGAGUCCACUCUAUGACAACGGAAUGGAACGGAAUGGAAUGGAAUGGAAUCUUCAAGGCCAAGUUCCAGAACAAAUUAGAUUCAUCUGUUCAUUGCGAUUCUGACCACAAGACAGAGAAGAUGCAUAUGUUUUGUGAGAGAAUUAAUCAGCAACGUUUACCACAUGGAGUCGUUAACCGGCAAAUAAACAAACAGCCUUUUUCAAGGCUUCCAGCCUAUUUACAGGCAUCCCACCAGCCUUUUUAAAGAUACCAUCAAUCUUUUUAAAGACCACACAAGUGUUAUUUAACAUGUACCGUGGAAACAACCAGAGAAUUGGAGCUGGCGCUUCACGUCUCGGGACUCCUCCCAACGGAUACAAGGUGAACAUGGCACUUUCUCGUGCCCAGGAUGAAGCACUACCUGAAAAGGAAGGUGAGCGAACUCACCGCUCACACUGAAACUGGGAAGUACAGUUUGACCAACCUGUUAAAAGGCAAAUAUAUUGCCUAUGAGCAGACAAGAACAGAAAGAAGUUGUCACACCUCAUCAGGGAGAACAAGGGUUUGUCUCUGAAGCUCCACAGAGACAACCGAACAACUCGUUGUCAAAAAUGCUGAACCCACGGUCCAGCAGCAGGCCAACAACCAAUAGUUGGAAGAAGAACACAAACUGCUAAAGAGCAAGACAGAGGCUCUGGCUGAGGUUAUCGGGGAAAACAAGAGUUUGUUUCUGAAGCUCUUUGAGUACGGCGAACAACUCUUCGUCAAAAGUGCUGAACUCACGGUCAACAAAGGGACCUGGCAGCAGAAGUUGGAGGAAAAGACAUUCAAGGAACUGGAUUACCAACAACAGUCCUUGGAGUAAGUAAAAGGGUUACUCUCCACCAACAUUUCUCUUCAAGAGGAGCUGCACAAGCAGCAGGCCAACAACCACCAGUUGGUAAAAGAACACAAACUGCUAAAGAUCAAGACAGAGGCUCUGGAUGAGACUAUCAGGGAGAACAAAGGUCUCUAUCUCUGAAGCUCACCGAGACCACAAAACAACAUUCUGUCAAAAGUGCUGAACUCAGGGUCAACAACGAGACCUGGCAGCAGUUGGAAGCAGAAAACAAACGAAUGAAGACCCAGAGGGAUUCUCUGGCUGCUUUAAAAAAAGAGCCACCACCAAGAGGAUACCCACCACGAGAUGGUCACAAGCAGUGGUUUCACUGAGUUGUGCCUGAUCUCUAAGAUCCAACAAACGGAGGAUACCAUCCCCCAAAAAAUAUAUAUAUAUCGCCCCCCCAUUAAAAAAAAUGAAAAACGCAAACUGCCCCCCCCAUUUUCCCCCGGCCAACGCCGCCACCCCCAACAC